GCAAACAGCCGCGCUACAGCGUUGAGCAAGUCAUGCUGACAGCCGCCGGGCAAGCGACAGCAUCACGUGACCGCAAGAUCUGUAUGAUUUAGCAAAUUAACACGACCAGACGAGCCCCACGGUUUUAGUUAGUUCCUGGACCAACAGAUGGCGCCGCUCCUGAUACGUUGUCAGCGAAGUUUCGCUUUGCCUUCUUUCUCCGUGCUAUCAGGAAGCGCUCCGUUGAUAAGCGAUUUUUGUCACGCUAGUAAUCGUGGGUGGGUAGCUCAGUUGGUACAGCGUUUGGCUUCUGUACAGAAAGACCCUGGUUCGAAACGGGAUCUCUCUGUUUAAGGUUUGGGGGUAGAUACUGGGUAAACGUAUGAGGGUUAGCUGUAUGGGGGGUUUGUAAGGGUUGACAGGAAGUAGCCUAGGUGUGGGUGGGUAAGAUAGGAGGAGGUCUGGCGGGAGUGCGCCCGAGGAUGCCCCGUGGGGUGUUAAGUAAGACCCCACGGGGCCGCCGAUGACGUCGUCCCCCCCCGGUUAGUUGCCUCAUCCGGGAACUGGCCGCGGCGUAAUUUCCAGAAUUCUCACCACGGUUAUGCAACAUGUAUAGUCUGUCUGUUUUGUUGAAAGUCAAGUAUUUUAGGUAAGUAUUUAAGUCGUAAGUAGGCGUUGUAUGUAUGUAUUUCUUCCCUUCUAUGUUGUUCCAGCCUCAGAACAUCAAUUCUCAUGAUCACGUCGUUUUGUAGAGAUAAAUUUUCCACUGAUGGCUUCGGGGUUAAGGUUGCGUUUGUGGCAGUGGAAGAAAGUGGAUUGAAAGAAAUUCCUCUGCUCCGUGGAAAAGUAUGACAUUGGGCAGAGUGUCAGAGCGUGAGCACAAGAAUGCAAAGAAAUGUAGAACAUUUAAAAACAUGUCACAAUUGUGCAGCAGUGUUUGAGGAAAAAUCUAGGGGUAGGGGCCCAAGCAGCACAAUGUACUGAAAGUCGAGUGCAAUGGGGGUGGACGGUUAUAUCAAUGUUCUUUAGUCUCACGGGUCUGUUCAAGGGUUUCCACCUACCCGGCCACCCCCAUUGCACUCGACUUUCAGUACAUUGUGCUGCUUGGGGGCGCGUCAUUGUUUGAGGAAGCGAAGCACGUUGUUUGCAGAUCAUUAUGUUAGUUCGCGAUCAGUCUUUUACUCUGAUAAGAUACACGAAUUCCUCGAAAACACAGGUCAAAAACUUGUUUAUGAAUCGGCGCGGCGUGGCGCUGGUGCGUUGGGGGGUGUCGGCUCAUUGAACCUUUGUUGAAAGUGUUAUGCCGUUCUAUUCUUUCUGCAGCAAAUAGUUGACUUGAUCCCGCGAAUAUGAACAGUAAUCAGCGACACAGGCAUGCGAGGAGGAUCGUUCUCCAUUGUGGUAUCGUGGAGAAUGAACAUGAUGACAGAAGCAGCUCUCUCAUAUCGGAGACGGACGAGUAUUACACCGCUGAGACCGUCCAGGAACAAUUUGGACGAAUGAUAUUCUCCUUCCAUGUAUGCCUUGACCCGAUGCUCGCUUUCUGGAUGCACCGAAACGCCUGUCAUUAAAACGCUGCAAUUCAUUGGAUGCGACUCAACGCGGCUUCUACAGUUCAAUGGCGUUACUGCUCAAGGUGUCUCCCACUGCGGUGACCCGGAAGAUCAAGAUUGCACCGCAGAGUGUUUGUACGUUGCAGUGGCAUUAUGGUACUGUUCGAGAACAUGCUUGCCCAGUAGAACGGAGGAGAGUCUGCUUAGCGAAAGAAAAUAACGGGAAAGGAGCGUUUGAACGCGGUGUUUUUGUCAACGCGCUGCAUACUAGCUGAUACCUCCGGGAAGCGAUGUCAUCGUUCUGUUGGCUCACACCUAUCUGAGGACAAGCAUAUGAGCCUGGAUGACCAUCCGUAGCGUACAUAAAGUAAGUACAUUUCUUGAUUGCCUUGUCUGCCUAGUUCUGCAGGUGCAGCGCCGUCACAUUAGUCUUCCAUUGCGCUAAGUCAUAAGCCUUGCGAAGCUAAGCCUUGCUAAGCCCGGCUAAGCCACAACAGCUCAUAAUGCUUCCUUCGAGGGGAUAUCACUUUUGCAUGAACGUCCCUGCUACCCCUCAGUGAUUGAAGGCACCAACAGGUGAUGCUACAGGUUACUACCCUUUCUGGUUACUGGCCUUCCUUACCAAUAUCUACAGGUCGUGCAGCUUCACAGUUGACCUUUGUGGAGCAGCUUCAACAGCUCAUGAUGCUUCCUUCGAGGGGAUAUCGCUUUUGCAUGAACGUCCCUGCUACCCCUCAGUGAUUGAAGGCACCAACAGGUGAUGCUACAGGUUACUACCCUUUCUGGUUACUGGCCUUGCUUACCAAUAUCUACAGGUCGUGCAGCUUCACAGUUGACCUUUGUGGAGCAGCUUCAACAGCUCAUGAUGCUUCCUUCGAGGGGAUAUCGCUUUUGCAUGAACGUCCCUGCUACCCCUCAGUGAUUGAAGGCACCAACAGGUGAUGCUACAGGUUACUACCCUUUCUGGUUACUGGCCUUGCUUACCAAUAUCUACAGGUCGUGCAGCUUCACAGUUGACCUUUGUGGAGCAGCUUCAACAGCUCAUGAUGCUUCCUUCGAGGGGAUAUCGCUUUUGCAUGAACGUCCCUGCUACCCCUCAGUGAUUGAAGGCACCAACAGGUGAUGCUACAGGUUACUACCCUUUCUGGUUACUGGCCUUGCUUACCAAUAUCUACAGGUCGUGCAGCUUCACAGUUUACCUUUGUGGAGCAGCUUCAACAGCUCAUGAUGCUUCCUUCGAGGGGAUAUCGCUUUUGCAUGAACGUCCCUGCUACCCCUCAGUGAUUGAAGGCACCAACAGGUGAUGCUACAGGUUACUACCCUUUCUGGUUACUGGCCUUGCUUACCAAUAUCUACAGGUCGUGCAGCUUCACAGUUUACCUUUGUGGAGCAGCUUCAACAGCUGAUGAUGCUUCCUUCGAGGGGAUAUCGCUUUUGCAUGAACGUCCCUGCUACCCCUCAGUGAUUGAAGGCACCAACAGGUGAUGGCACAGAUUACUACCCUUCCUGGUUGCUGUCCUGCAUACCUUUCUCGACAGGUCGUACACGGCACAAGCGGAUCUCCGGUAACUCCACCAGGUGGUGUCCUCCGUUGCUGCCCGUUGUUGCACCUCAGUGGUUUGAAGCAGCGGCAGGAGUGCCAGGACAUUUUACUCGCCCAUUCUAUUGAUUGUUUCAGAAUCCACUUGGAAGCCACGUGUGCAUGCUGUCUCUAAUUGCAUUCUACUGACGUGUGAGUGCUAAUUUUCACCAGCAGGCCCUUUGCUGCAGCAGCUUUGUCCUGGAACAGAAGGUGCCGGAAGAAGCCAGACGGGACGCUGACGAGGACGCUGACGGAAUACGAGGAUGGGAUCCCAACUUCACAAGGAAUCCUCGUAAUGGAUGUGAUGAGUUUCCUGACGUUCGUCAACUGGUGCACGACAUCCACCAAUGACCUUGACUUCCUGUAGGGUAUGGCAUAUCACCUGCAAAGGCAUA
This is a long non-coding RNA of Ornithodoros turicata, 3509 nucleotides long. RefSeq lists it as uncharacterized. The transcript is spliced from 3 exons. NCBI's taxonomy places the organism in Eukaryota, Metazoa, Arthropoda, Arachnida, Ixodida, Argasidae. The record is from RefSeq and is a predicted model, not a curated record.